UGAGAAAGAAAUAAGCGUCUAUUGUGUCU
This 29-nucleotide non-coding RNA is filed under the name Rattus norvegicus (Norway rat). The record is from RNAcentral. Lineage: Eukaryota; Metazoa; Chordata; Mammalia; Rodentia; Muridae.